RNAcentral lists this ribosomal RNA (1046 nucleotides) under Enterococcus faecium. Its description in RNAcentral is "bacterial SSU rRNA". It matches the Rfam family "Bacterial small subunit ribosomal RNA", at positions 239 to 1278 of the family's 1533-position model. The record is from RNAcentral. Lineage: Bacteria; Bacillati; Bacillota; Bacilli; Lactobacillales; Enterococcaceae.
CAUUAGCUAGUUGGUGAGGUAACGGCUCACCAAGGCCACGAUGCAUAGCCGACCUGAGAGGGUGAUCGGCCACAUUGGGACUGAGACACGGCCCAAACUCCUACGGGAGGCAGCAGUAGGGAAUCUUCGGCAAUGGACGAAAGUCUGACCGAGCAACGCCGCGUGAGUGAAGAAGGUUUUCGGAUCGUAAAACUCUGUUGUUAGAGAAGAACAAGGAUGAGAGUAACUGUUCAUCCCUUGACGGUAUCUAACCAGAAAGCCACGGCUAACUACGUGCCAGCAGCCGCGGUAAUACGUAGGUGGCAAGCGUUGUCCGGAUUUAUUGGGCGUAAAGCGAGCGCAGGCGGUUUCUUAAGUCUGAUGUGAAAGCCCCCGGCUCAACCGGGGAGGGUCAUUGGAAACUGGGAGACUUGAGUGCAGAAGAGGAGAGUGGAAUUCCAUGUGUAGCGGUGAAAUGCGUAGAUAUAUGGAGGAACACCAGUGGCGAAGGCGGCUCUCUGGUCUGUAACUGACGCUGAGGCUCGAAAGCGUGGGGAGCAAACAGGAUUAGAUACCCUGGUAGUCCACGCCGUAAACGAUGAGUGCUAAGUGUUGGAGGGUUUCCGCCCUUCAGUGCUGCAGCUAACGCAUUAAGCACUCCGCCUGGGGAGUACGACCGCAAGGUUGAAACUCAAAGGAAUUGACGGGGGCCCGCACAAGCGGUGGAGCAUGUGGUUUAAUUCGAAGCAACGCGAAGAACCUUACCAGGUCUUGACAUCCUUUGACCACUCUAGAGAUAGAGCUUCCCCUUCGGGGGCAAAGUGACAGGUGGUGCAUGGUUGUCGUCAGCUCGUGUCGUGAGAUGUUGGGUUAAGUCCCGCAACGAGCGCAACCCUUAUUGUUAGUUGCCAUCAUUCAGUUGGGCACUCUAGCAAGACUGCCGGUGACAAACCGGAGGAAGGUGGGGAUGACGUCAAAUCAUCAUGCCCCUUAUGACCUGGGCUACACACGUGCUACAAUGGGAAGUACAACGAGUCGCGAAGUCGCGAGGCUAAGCUAAUCUCUUA